UUUCAAGUUUAUGAAAAUUGGUUCAGCCAUCGCUGAGAAAAGAGAGUGAGACUGUGGUCACAUACACACACAGAAUCGACGGACUGAAUCGAAUGAUUUGACCGCACAUACCGCUUGAUGACGUCCCAGUUUGAUAUUUCUUUUGAGUGUUUUGAGAAAACUGAGAAAACGAAACUCGUCAACGCAGGCCUGGAUACGGUUAAAGAAAUAUAAACAAAUUUUGGUAUCCUCGUAUCGUUGUCCGGAGCAGUUGGAUAUCAUUGUCAUCAAUACCCCCAGGGUUGAAAAAUUGAUUCGGUUCUGGCUCCGAAUCUAAAGAAUAUGGCGUGCGGCAUCGAAGAAUUUAUUCCGUGCAUUUUAGGUCGUCUUGUUUCAAACACCUAUUAAAUGUAUCUAAAGGAUGAUGAUCGAGUUGCACUUUUUGUUGCCAACGAACGGAAAACAGCGACUAGCUGCUGCAUUUGCUCCACCACCCGUUUUUUUUCAAGAGAUCAGAGAUGUAUAUUUUCGCUCUGCAGUUUGUUGCUUUUCGCUAAAUAGCUGAAGAAAUUUUUCUCCUCAAAAUAUUUGGUAAGUAAAUAAGAACAAUUUUGCACGUAAUAUGAGUUGUUAUCGUGGGCGUGGAAACGACAUUUAUUCACUACUAGCUGUAACCCGGUGCGCUUCGCUACACCCGCUUCGACUAAACGAAAUAUUUUAAAUAUACUAAAAAUAACAAAUAUUUGUGUUACUAAGA
Molecule: long non-coding RNA, 736 nt
Organism: Topomyia yanbarensis
Lineage: Eukaryota; Metazoa; Arthropoda; Insecta; Diptera; Culicidae
Exons: 4
Source: RefSeq, a predicted model, not a curated record